UGGUGCCGAUACUCGCCUCUCGCAGAGGCUCCAGGCAAGUCCCAGAGAAGGUGAGGCUCCCUGGGAGCCUUCACGCAGGAGAACAAAAGAAAGCCCGGUGUUCCCGCUCCUCACAUAAGAAGCAUCAGGCUCACAGCCUCAUCACCUGAGGUCACGGGAACUGUUUGUCUCCCAUGCUCCAGCAACACCCACUUGCCAAGUUUUUGCUUCCUAUGGAUAUUUAUUCACCAUCUAAUGCAGACCAACUGGCAAGACUCAAGAGAAAGCUGUACACAAGGAAAAGAAAAGAAGAUGAUAGAGGAAAAUAAGAUAAUAAAGGAAAGAAGUAUUCGUGGCGGCAAA
Molecule: long non-coding RNA, 342 nt
Organism: Homo sapiens (human)
Lineage: Eukaryota; Metazoa; Chordata; Mammalia; Primates; Hominidae
Exons: 2
Source: RefSeq, a predicted model, not a curated record